Long non-coding RNA from Aedes albopictus (Asian tiger mosquito), 285 nucleotides. RefSeq lists it as uncharacterized. The record is from RefSeq and is a predicted model, not a curated record. NCBI's taxonomy places the organism in Eukaryota, Metazoa, Arthropoda, Insecta, Diptera, Culicidae. The transcript has 2 exons.
CAUAACAUGAGUAAUGCGCCCGCAAAUGGCACUGACCCAUCUUGCCCCGUGACCCAUCUUGCCCCGCGGCCGUUUAUAUGGAGAUUAUAUGGAAUGUAUCGCAUAAGAAAAAUGGCUAAAAACCAUUUUAUUUUUUAUUUCCAAUGAGAGUGAAUAAUUUUUCAAUCAAUGCUCCAAACUUUUGUAUAUUCAUGCUGGUCAUCUAACAAAAUUAUUAAUCUAAACAAAACAUGAGUAAUGCGCCCAAAAAUGGCACUGACCCAUCUUGCCCCGUGACCCAUCUUG